GGAGUUAGCCGGUGCUUCUUCUGUGAGUGAUGUCCUUCCUGCCGGCUAUUAACCCGCAGGCCUUCUUCCUCACUGAAAGUGCUUUACAACCCGAAGGCCUUCUUCACACACGCGGCAUGGCUGGAUCAGGGUUGCCCCCAUUGUCCAAUAUUCCCCACUGCUGCCUCCCGUAGGAGUCUGGGCCGUGUCUCAGUCCCAGUGUGGCUGAUCAUCCUCUCAGACCAGCUACGGAUCGUCGCCUUGGUGAGCCGUUACCUCACCAACCAGCUAAUCCGACAUAGGCUCAUCCGAUAGCGCGAGGCCCGAAGGUCCCCCGCUUUCCCCCGUAGGGCGUAUGCGGUAUUAGCCUGGGUUUCCCCAGGUUAUCCCCCACUACCGGGCAGAUUCCUAUGCAUUACUCACCCGUCCGCCGCUCGCCACCAGGGAGCAAGCUCCCCGUGCUGCCGCUCGACUUGCAUGUGUAGCUCGCCGCCACGCGUCAUCUGAGCAUGAUACAACUACUGA
This 504-nucleotide ribosomal RNA is filed under the name uncultured bacterium. Its description in RNAcentral is "partial 16S ribosomal RNA". The record is from RNAcentral.